GAUGAACGCUGGCGGCGUGCCUAACACAUGCAAGUCGAGCGAUCUUCUUCGGAAGAGAGCGGCGGACGGGUGAGUAACGCGUGGGUAACCUGCCCUGUACACACGGAUAACAUACCGAAAGGUAUGCUAAUACGAGAUAAUAUGCUUUUGUCGCAUGGUAGAAGUAUCAAAGCUUUUGCGGUACAGGAUGGACCCGCGUCUGAUUAGCUAGUUGGUAAGGUAACGGCUUACCAAGGCUACGAUCAGUAGCCGACCUGAGAGGGUGAUCGGCCACAUUGGAACUGAGACACGGUCCAAACUCCUACGGGAGGUAGCAGUGGGGAAUAUUGCACAAUGGGCGAAAGCCUGAUGCAGCAACGCCGCGUGAGCGAUGAAGGCCUUCGGGUCGUAAAGCUCUGUCCUCAAGGAAGAUAAUGACGGUACUUGAGGAGGAAGCCCCGGCUAACUACGUGCCAGCCGCCGCGGUAA
Molecule: ribosomal RNA, 468 nt
Filed under: uncultured bacterium
Lineage: Bacteria
Description: partial 16S ribosomal RNA
Rfam family: Bacterial small subunit ribosomal RNA
Source: RNAcentral